RNAcentral lists this ribosomal RNA (374 nucleotides) under Chaetothyriales sp. Its description in RNAcentral is "SSU rRNA". The stretch from base 99 to 374 matches the Rfam family "Bacterial small subunit ribosomal RNA", at positions 874 to 1211 of the family's 1533-position model. Lineage: Eukaryota; Fungi; Ascomycota; Eurotiomycetes; Chaetothyriales. The record is from RNAcentral.
GGUGUCAGAUUGUAUGGGAUAUGAUGAGAAAAUUUUCCAAAUAAGAUUUUGAUUUGUUAAUAGUAGCGGUCUAUAAAUGAAAGUGUAAGCAUUCCACCUCAUGACUAAAGCGGCAACGCCCAAAUUGAAAUCAUUAGACCGUUUCUGAAACCAGUAGUGAAGUAUGUUAUUUAAUUCGAUGACCCGCGAAUAACCUUACCACGUUUUGAAUUUUUAAACAAGUGUUGCACGGCUGUCUUCAGUUAAUGUCGUGAGAUUUUGGUUUGUUCCAUUAAUUAACGAAAACCCUUGUUUCAUUUUUAUAUGAAAUAGUUCCCCGCUAUAUUGGAAAGAUAAGAGGGAUCAAGACAAGUCAUCAUGGCCUUAAUAACGUG